This 60-nucleotide transfer RNA is filed under the name Loxodonta africana (African savanna elephant). It matches the Rfam family "tRNA", at positions 7 to 64 of the family's 71-position model. From Rfam's summary of the family: Transfer RNA (tRNA) molecules are approximately 80 nucleotides in length. Their secondary structure includes four short double-helical elements and three loops (D, anti-codon, and T loops). Lineage: Eukaryota; Metazoa; Chordata; Mammalia; Proboscidea; Elephantidae. The record is from Rfam by way of RNAcentral.
UUAGCACAGUGGUUAAAGCACUUGGCUGCCAACCAGAAGGUCUGUGGUUCAAAUCCACCA